This 634-nucleotide long non-coding RNA is filed under the name Elaeis guineensis (African oil palm). Its description in RNAcentral is "long non-coding RNA (EGUI_LNC048670)". Lineage: Eukaryota; Viridiplantae; Streptophyta; Magnoliopsida; Arecales; Arecaceae. The record is from RNAcentral.
UGGGGGAGCCAAAGUCGAUGGUAGAGCCAGUAAAGGAGGAGGUUCUCACACCUAGAGUUUCAAUGAUGGAGGAGAGUAGAAUCCACAAAAUCCAAUAAAGGAGAGUAGGGGAGGUAAGGGGCAUUGAAGGAGUGGAGGGUUCUGUGAGGGCAAGUGAAGGGCACAUGUUGAAGACGAAUGAGAGCGGUGAAGGGCGAAAAAGAUAUGGGUUCAUUGAGGAAGAUCAAAAUAUGUAUGAUGAAGGAGAGUGGUUGAGGGAGUGAAAAGAAAUUAGAAAGGAUACAUAGCUUCAACUGACGAAGAGAUGGAAGAGCGAAAGGAAAUUAAGACUAUGGCUUAAGUACUGAAGAGAUGGAAGAGUGAAAAUUUGCAGACGUAUGGCUUCAGGGUUAUGCAUAUGAUAAAUCAACUCCGUAGGCAUAAACCUAGGCCUUUGCCUAUGCUAAAAAAUAAUUGUUGAUGCAUUUCAAUACUCAACUAUAGUUAUGUAAUUCCAUUAGCAAAUAUCUAAACCUUUACUGAUAGAUUAAAAUUAUCCAUAAGCAAUUUAUAUCUUUUAUUGAUGAAUAGAUGGCUUCGUAGCUAACAAUAUAGAAGUGUUGGUAAAAGCUUAAAUAAAUUGAUAGAUUUGCCC